This 226-nucleotide ribosomal RNA is filed under the name uncultured bacterium. RNAcentral describes it as "partial 16S ribosomal RNA". It matches the Rfam family "Bacterial small subunit ribosomal RNA", at positions 111 to 334 of the family's 1533-position model. The record is from RNAcentral.
UAACGCGUGAGGAACCUGCCUCAAAGAGGGGGACAACAGGUUGGAAACGACUGCUAAUACCGCAUAAGCCCACAGCUCGGCAUCGAGGCAGAGGAAAAGGAGUGAUCCGCUUUGAGAUGGCCUCGCGUCCGAUUAGCUAGUUGGUGAGGUAAUGGCCCACCAAGGCGACGAUCGGUAGCCGGACUGAGAGGUUGAACGGCCACAUUGGGACUGAGACACGGCCCAG